Long non-coding RNA from Telopea speciosissima, 229 nucleotides. RefSeq lists it as uncharacterized. NCBI's taxonomy places the organism in Eukaryota, Viridiplantae, Streptophyta, Magnoliopsida, Proteales, Proteaceae. The record is from RefSeq and is a predicted model, not a curated record. The transcript is spliced from 2 exons.
GGGGGGUGGUGGUGGUCUGCGCAUCUGUAAAAACAAAGUAUCAUAAUCCUUGACCCUAAUGUCAAGGCUGAGAUGUUGUCUUGGUUUGUAUAAAUAAUAAAUGCUGUCUUGCAGUCUCAUGGUCAGUCAUAAAGUCAGUGUAGGAUCUCUCUGAUACGUUUACCUGUCCAUAACUGGGUAUAUAGUUCCUUGAUCCUGUAUAGAAAAUCAAAUUCUCUCAUUGAUCUCA